Molecule: RNA transcript, 1614 nt
Organism: Myxocyprinus asiaticus (Chinese sucker)
Lineage: Eukaryota; Metazoa; Chordata; Actinopteri; Cypriniformes; Catostomidae
Gene: dmac2
Gene name: distal membrane arm assembly component 2
Exons: 7
Source: RefSeq, a predicted model, not a curated record
UCCACAGCCGCCGUAGAAAAAUGGCAGCCUCCUUGUUGUCCCAGGCCAUCAGGAGGUGUUCAGAACGCACCUGUGCUGUUGCUCUCAGGAGGAGUUGGAGUUCAGGUGCUACUGCUCCAUCUGUCUUCACCAGGUUCCUCCUGAAACUCAAUCAUUACUUCUAUGAUGUGGAGAAUGUUGUGGGCUGGAGCAGCUGGUUAAGGACACGAGUAGUCGGACGCAAGAAUAAGUUUUUUGGUUACACACAGCAAAGGUUUGGUGAUAAUGUUGCUGCGGCUUAUUAUAUUUUGACUCUAAGAGGGAGCUUCAGAUUUGCAGGCCAGUCUGAAUGGUUUCGUCCAGACUCAAGAGGAAGAUUCAGCUAUGAAUUCGUCAGCACACCUGACACACAUAUUGAGGAAGUGGAUCUGAGUGGCACCCUAAUAAACCAUGAAGGACUUGACAACCUUGUGAGUCAGAAUAAACUUCACACACUCUCUCUACGAGGAUGUCAUGAAGUGGAUGACUGGUUCCUCGCCCGUCUGCAUGUGUUUGGUGAGAGUUUGGUGGAGUUAAACAUCUCUCACUGCUCUCGUAUUACGGUGGGAGGACUAGCUGCAUUACAGAACCUCAGAAAAUUAGAGCGACUUGACAUUUCUGGACUCUCUCAGCUGCAUAGUCCAGGCCUGGUGCGGAUUCUCCUGGAGGAAAUGCUGCCGCACUGCCGGGUCACUGGAGCUGAAUACGAGCAGGGCCUGAUCCAGCCAAACAGCCAACAGCCAAUGGAGGACCACAAUGAAGCUUCCACACAUGCAAACACUGGACAUAUAUAAACUACAGGACUGCUGAUAAUGGAGACUUCUUUUAAUGCCCAAACAGCUGCUGUACAUUUCAGUGUACUUAAAUAUUUCAGGUGAAGUAAUCCUGUAAUCCUCACAGUGGAGGUGUGAGGACACUAGAUCUGUGUUUGAAAGACUGAGACAGGCAAAGGUGGAUGACAAAACCUGCCAAGCAAAGGUAAUGUUUUUUUAUGUUAAUCUUUAAACAAUUUAAUUUAUAUCAAUCCAGCUUAAUAUUAAAAACUAUAUAAGUCUUGAAAGCUGUCUCUUCAUGUCAGUGGUUUUUUGUUAAAUAGGAUCCAGGGACCCCCAGAAGAGAGAGAGCGUAAAAAACCUUUGACUUCUGUUUUCUAAAGACUGAUUGGACAUCAUGAGAGUAUUCGUCAUUCAACUGUAUUGACAGUUAUAGUUUUUUAACUGUAAAAUAAACAAAUAUAAUUUGUUAUAUAUGCUUCUAGGUUUUAUAUAUGUUUUUAAGAUGAAGGAAUAGUUUGUACUCUUGCUCACUGGGGGUUGCAAGCCAAUAUUUUUUGUAAAACUGCUUUUUUUUUUUUUUUUUUUUUGCUUUUUUUAAACUGUCUUUAGGUUUAUACAUUAAACAGUACUCUAAUAUUUGUUAGAACAAAGACACACUGUCAAAGCAAAAUAACUAUAUUCCAGAUAAUAUUUUAGUCUUUUCUUUUGGCUUUAGUACAAUAACAAUAUAAAAAACAAUUACUUAAUUUUUACUUAAAAGUAUUUUACUUAAUACGUAAUUAACAACAUCUUGUCUUAAUAAAGAAUCAUAUACAGUGCG